Helianthus annuus (common sunflower) is the source of this 1598-nucleotide long non-coding RNA. RefSeq lists it as uncharacterized. The transcript is spliced from 5 exons. NCBI's taxonomy places the organism in Eukaryota, Viridiplantae, Streptophyta, Magnoliopsida, Asterales, Asteraceae. The record is from RefSeq and is a predicted model, not a curated record.
CUUCUCUAAAUGAUUCUGCUGUUAAGUCCAUAAACAAUUUCUUUCGUUAUAAAUUGUCCAUUCACCACCGGACUUCACUUCACUGACCGAUUUCUAAAUUUUUAAUAUGUCUUACUUGGUUCGCACAGAAUCUAACGAGACGGUAGGGGCUUUGCUCGUAUUGUCGACCUUUCAGAUUAUUGAGGAAUCAACAACCAUGAUUAAAGGCACGGAUUGUCAAAGCUGCAAACAAUGAACAUGAUUAAACCCUUUAGAUCAGUUAAUGAAGAAAGAGUGUGAAAAGCUAUUUGGAAGGGAUGCUCUUACUGAGAAAGGGAUGACUUAUGGCUAUGGUGAACUAAGAUUGCUGAAAACGAAAGAUCCCAACAGCAACACAUGAGUUUCAUGCCUUGAAGUUGACUUUGAUCUGGUACCACCUCAUUAACCGUUCGAUGGUCGAAACUACCUUCAAGUCAAAUGCAAGUGAAGAUAUUGAGAAGGAAACAAGUGGGAUUCCUGGCGAGAUCAAACUAAAGAUGAAAAGGUGUCUUGGAUCUUACUAAGCAAAUAGUGCUCGAAUUUGGCUUUGAUAAACACGAAGUCAACUUUUUGACUAAAUCCGAGAAGGCGGUAGGUGAUGAUGAUAUAUGGGUCAAAGAGAAUCUGGUGGGGGUUAUGGGUGACGAUGCGAAGAACAAGGGCCAACAACAAAGGAAUGCAGGCCCAACAAUAGAUGCUGAGUGGCAGCAGUAUAAUGAGCUCAUGGGUUGCCUUAACUCUGGUAAAAUCAGAAACCAUCAGGACAAGGGGCUUUGGAAAACAAGGAAAGAUGAGAAGUUCUUAGUGGCGGGUAUUCGAGAAGAAAUCACAAAGAAGACAAAUCCGGAGGGGAAGGGGAAAACGAGGAAAGAUGAGAAGUUCUCUGUUCUUCACGCUGCGGAGAGAGGUGACGCACGCACUGUGAGUGGCGUCGUUGCCGGUGUACCACCGUGUCUCUGCCAUCGGAAACGGUGGUUGGCCUAUAGUGUUCAUCUACUCACAAACUUCUCUCUUCUUUGGGUCCAGAAUCUGUUUCUCUCUCAAGGAGGCUGGCACAUUGAAAGUAUUUGUUGAGAGUCGAAUGAUUUAGUCACCUCCAUGUUGGAUUGUUUAAGCGACUAUCUAGCGACGAAGUUGUGCUCGCACAUCAGAAGGGUUGCCGGCUGAAGAGUCAAGAUAUCUCAGUAAAAAGUAAAUUUGUUAUAAUAGCAUCAACUUCAUCUAAUGAAGGAGAGCAAUUCAAGCAACUUUUUUAUAAAAGAAGCGAGGGAAGAAUAUGAAGGUGACAAAGUGAUUGCUAAAGAUAUUAGGAAAUGUUUUGAUGCUAUGGAGAAUGGAGUUGCGUCUUGAGACCUUGUAUCUAAGACCUUGCUGUUAAUGCCUCCAACCGCCGUCCGUGACAUGGCAAUUCUGUAUAACAGUGAGAAUGGAAUGAAGGACGUGGAGUUAAUGGUACAUAUAAAAGAUUUACUUAAACAAGUCAAUGUUUCAAUGGAAUUGAAGCGUAGGUUUUUACUUUCAUAUGAGUAGUUCUGUUAUGUUUAGUUUUUCGUUUAUGUUGUUUAUUUUAUUUUCUUCAA